GCCUUGCUGUAAGCGCUGGACUCUCGAGUCAAGGAGUUGCGUUUCCCGUGUAAUUCCGUGAUUUAGUUGCUUUGCCCAGUAUUUGUGUAUGUUUCGUCCCGUGAGAAUCAAUUCAAGUGGAAUCUUCUAACUUCUGCUAUAAAUUUCGAACGUAAGUGCAUCCCGUGCGGCCAUCAGACCUGAAAACUUCGCCGAGAAAAUCGAACGCUACAGCCAAUCCCGCGACAAGGACACAGGUAGAAAUCGAAGCAAUUUGUUUUGCUUUUGGUGACGGAUUUAGUAAUGUGGUGUUCAUGUGUCUCCACAAAUAACACAGAACGAAUGGCGGCUAUCCGUAAGAAAUUGGUGAUUGUCGGAGAUGGUGCCUGCGGUAAAACGUGUCUUCUAAUUGUCUUCAGUAAGGAUCAAUUUCCGGAAGUCUACGUGCCGACAGUUUUCGAAAACUAUGUGGCUGAUAUCGAAGUCGAUGGCAAACAGGUGGAACUAGCGCUAUGGGAUACUGCCGGGCAGGAAGAUUACGACAGACUGCGACCUCUGAGUUACCCCGACACAGAUGUCAUCCUGAUGUGUUUCUCAGUUGAUUCGCCCGAUUCUUUAGAAAACAUACCAGAAAAAUGGACACCAGAAGUGAAACACUUCUGUCCAAAUGUACCCAUCAUUUUAGUCGGUAACAAAAAAGAUUUAAGAAACGAUCCAAAUACGAUACGGGAAUUGUCCAAAAUGAAACAAGAGCCUGUUAAGCCACAAGAAGGUCGUGCAAUGGCCGAGAAAAUUAACGCUUUCGCUUAUUUGGAAUGUUCGGCCAAAUCAAAAGAAGGUGUUCGAGAUGUGUUCGAAACGGCAACCCGUGCCGCUUUACAAGUUAAAAAGAAGAAGAAGGCCAGAUGUUCAUUGCUCUAAGGGAGAGUCAGAAAUAUAUGAAACAAUUUUAUUAAAAAAGUAUACAUAAAAAACAAAAAUUUAUAAAAACAUUCAAAAAAAUAUUGGCAUCAUUGGGAAAUAAAAGCUACACAAAAAGUUAUAAAAUCAACUUGAGAAGAAAAUUGCAAAAAAACUGAUAGAGGGAAGCAAUUGUAUUACGUGAUGAAUAAUGAAUAACAGUAAAGAAACAUGCGCAACAUAUACUACAGGCCACACACAGAAAAAAAUCCGAACCUCUCUUACAAUAACACCGGAAAUAGCCACUCCAACAACAUCCAAGAAAUCCGACGAGGACUUUUUCAGAGCUACAACCACUACAACUUGAGCAACUAGAGGGCAACCAGAGCCACUUCAGCAAUUUAAUGAUAUAAAGAAGAUAUCGAUUGCUUGCUCCAAGUUUUUCUUAACAAACAAAUCACCUUCAAAGACACAUGCAAACGUUUGCUAUCAAAAUAAAAAUAUGGAAACGUAAUAAAAAUAAAAGAACAACUAACAAUUUGAAUCCAAGUCGUAUAUUCAGAUUCCCUAUGAAUGCAAAGUAUUUUUCUUCCAUUGUUGUAUACAUGCAAAACACUUUUUCUGUUAAAAGAAUUUAAAUGGAGAAACUAUCAAUGAACUUUUAAAUAAUUCACUAACUCUUUAUAAUACAUAGAAUUCAACAAACAAUACAACAACUAAUACAUAUUUUUCUGCUUCAUAUGAAAUUAUCCAAUCCAUUUACAUAAUAAAAAUGAAAGGGACAAGAUACAUCGUGGCGAGAAAAAAUAUCGAUAAUCUUAAGUAUAAUGUCUUCUUUUAUUUUCGCGUGUUUCAAUGUACAAUGCAGAAAAUAGAUGUAAUUUUCUGUUUUCUGUUCGGAAUCACAAAAAAGUAAAAAAAAUAUGUACACAUUCUGCAAAUUGUAUUGCAUUCUGCAUCAAUGCGCGUAUUUGUAAUAUUUGAACUAGAAAGUUGUUUUUUUUUGUGUUUUCUUUUUUAUAUUCAUAUAUAUGUAUCGAUUACUAUUAUUAGAUUAUUUUAAUUUGUUUAAUAACUAUUUAAAAAAGUGCCUGAUUUGCAUAAGAACGAUAUAAUUAUAUAUCAUAACGCAGAGAGGAAGGAUAAAAUAAUUGUGAAGAGUAAGAAAAAAAGAGAAAUGCCAAUUUAUAUACAAAAUGUAGUAAAUUUAAUUCAAUUCUGAGAGCGAAGGGAAGCAUCAUGUAAGCAAACUAACAGGCAAAAUUCAAUUGAAACGAAUAUUUAAUUAGUCAUGUGAACAAUAUUAAUUAUAUAUGCAAUUUUUAUGGAAUUUUGAAUUCUGAUUGAUCUACUAUUGCUAUUAACAAUGUCAUAUAUAAGUAACUAUAGUUUUUUUUUAUUUUCUAAGAGUCUGUAAUAAAAUUUUAUAUGUGGUGAGAAACAAACUGUGUUUAGGAACAUUU
RNAcentral lists this unclassified non-coding RNA (2342 nucleotides) under Hermetia illucens (black soldier fly). RNAcentral's name for it is "ras-like GTP-binding protein Rho1, transcript variant X4". The record is from RNAcentral. Lineage: Eukaryota; Metazoa; Arthropoda; Insecta; Diptera; Stratiomyidae.